RNAcentral lists this unclassified non-coding RNA (264 nucleotides) under plant metagenome. RNAcentral describes it as "partial contains small subunit ribosomal RNA and internal transcribed spacer 1". The stretch from base 1 to 54 matches the Rfam family "Eukaryotic small subunit ribosomal RNA", at positions 1778 to 1831 of the family's 1831-position model. The record is from RNAcentral.
GGAAGUAAAAGUUGUAACAAGGUCUCCGUUGGUGAACCAGCGGAGGGAUCAUUACAGAGUUUUCACAACUCCCAACCCUUGCGAACCGUACCCAUUCUGUUCUCGUUGCUUCCGGCGGGGGGGACGGGGGGGCCCGAAACGGCCUCCCCGCCCCGCCCGCCGGGGGCGGCGGGCCCUACGAACCUUUAUAUCUCAACCACCAGAAACCGUCUGAGAAAACAAACAAAAUAAUCAAAGCUUUCAACAACGGAUCUCUUGGCUCUG